This is a long non-coding RNA of Micropterus salmoides (largemouth bass), 315 nucleotides long. RefSeq lists it as uncharacterized. The record is from RefSeq and is a predicted model, not a curated record. The transcript is spliced from 4 exons. Lineage: Eukaryota; Metazoa; Chordata; Actinopteri; Centrarchiformes; Centrarchidae.
UGAAGCCCAGAACAGAAGAGGACGUCAUAACUCCACCUUACAUCUGAUUGUUGUGGCAGAGAACUCAACAAGGCUAAUAAUUAUCAUCACGUUGACUCUGGUGGUUGUGAUGCUGAUUCAUCUGCUUCUGUUUUGUCUGUGGAUGAGGAAGAAGAAUACUCUGAGCUCGACCUCUGAACCAAAUGAAACCAUAGAGACGUUAGAGUUGGAGUCUGAUCCUGUUUAUACCAACAUCUCAGCCUUGAAAUAAAACUGUAUGUGACUUGAGUGGAAAACAGUCACAGCAGAGGGACUCACCUGGAUGGAAACAAGGAG